GACGAACGCUGGCGGCGUGCUUAACACAUGCAAGUCGAACGGUAAGGCCCUUCGGGGUACACGAGUGGCGAACGGGUGAGUAACACGUGGGUGAUCUGCCCUGCACUUCGGGAUAAGCCUGGGAGACUGGGUCUAAUACCGGAUAGGACUCCGGACUGCAUGGUCUGGGGUGGAAAGCUUUUGCGGUGUGGGAUGGGCCCGCGGCCUAUCAGCUUGUUGGGGGGGUGAUGGCCUACCAAGGCGACGACGGGUAGCCGGCCUGAGAGGGUGACCGGCCACACUGGGACUGAGAUAAGGCCCAGACUCCUACGGGAGGCAGCAGUGGGGAAUAUUGCACAAUGGGCGCAAGCCUGAUGCAGCGACGCCGCGUGAGGGAUGACGGCCUUCGGGUUGUAAACCUCUUUCAGCAUCGACGAAGCGAAAGUGACGGUAGGUGCAGAAGAAGGACCGGCCAACUACGUGCCAGCCGCCGCGGUAA
Molecule: ribosomal RNA, 478 nt
Filed under: uncultured bacterium
Lineage: Bacteria
Description: partial 16S ribosomal RNA
Rfam family: Bacterial small subunit ribosomal RNA
Source: RNAcentral